Thunnus maccoyii (southern bluefin tuna) is the source of this 1483-nucleotide RNA transcript. RefSeq lists it as uncharacterized. The transcript is spliced from 3 exons. The record is from RefSeq and is a predicted model, not a curated record. Lineage: Eukaryota; Metazoa; Chordata; Actinopteri; Scombriformes; Scombridae.
GUUUGUCAGAUGAAUCAACAAGUUGGUUGGUAACUGGUUAGAGUUAGAUAAAGAUCCUAGUUUGGGUUAAAAUAACCACUUGGUUGAGGCUGGGGGACGUUUGUGAUAAUGGUUAGAAGAAACAAACAUUGACUGUCAGGAAAAAUUAAAAACAAUGAGUUAUAACAGAGCAGAAUGAUCCAAAGUGUAGUAGAUGUUUAGUGCACUGGGACAUGCCUCUGCUCAACACAUACAGUACAUAAACACAAGCAUACAACAUGUAUGUAAGCCCUCAUACACACAUGCAACACACACAACAGCAGGUACAGUAAGACCCAGCUCUGUUCAUGAAGCCCCAGCUGACAACUUAUCCAAUUACGACCGCAGAAACACUGGUUACAAGGGAGUCAACUCUGAAAUUGCCUGGUGUGAUUCAAUGUGGCCCACGCUAUGUGUAAAAUUGACAGUGUGAUUUCUGACUGGGUUCCCAGCAGAGAUUACCUCCCACAGGACGCUGCUGUUUCAGAACCCCGGGCUGCAUGCCAGACGAGGAAGGUGAAUGUUGGAGCCUGUUUGCUUCUACGGCAGAAAUCUCUGGUGAAAGCCUCUUUAAAGCAGAGUGUGCUGGAGUCAGAGCAGAGUCACAUCAGCUGCACCUCAUCUCAGUAAUCAAGCCCUCUUCAAAUACUCAGCCCUUUCACUUCCCGUCUGGCAGAUCGUAGCCUCUGCAUCAGUCAGUCUACACUUUGAGCCAGUUUUCACACGUACCUGUUUUCUUGCUGUUACCUGUUUUUCACUUUCCUAUCGCUGUCUCCUUUUCUCUGGCAGUUCCAUCUGCUCAGUCUCCGGCCCCUGUCUCCAGCCCCUCAUAUCGUCUCAUCAACCCUCCUUCCCUGCCCUGGAUCCUGCCAUGUUCCCAGUUUUCAGCCCAAACCUCAACCCCAGGUUUCCAGCUUCCAGCCUAAGCCACAGCCCCAGUUCCCCAGUUACCAGCCCAAGCUUGCCCAGCGGUCCUCACUUCCUGUGCUGCAGCACUCCAGGGAGGACUCCUGGUCCUGCACUCCAGCCACUGGCCUUCAGUCCUGCACCACAGCCGUCUGGUUGACCUCCAAAGUGGCUUUGCUCAUCUGUCCUGACAUCUGGUCGACCUCCAGAUUGGUCCUGCCCAGUCACAGGUCUCGAGAGCAGCGCUACCUACAUCGCCAGCUUCCAAGUCAUGCUCCAGAGCUGCUCCACCUGUCUGGUUCAACUCUGGAGCGACUUUGCUGAUCUGUCCUGCCCCCUGGUCACCCUCUAGAGUGCAAACGGCCAUCUUUCCUACCUUUUGGUCGCCCUCCUGAGCGACUCCGCCUGUCUUUCCUGCCUCCUGAUCACCCUCCAGAGUGACACUGGCCAUCUGUCCCACCUUCCGGUCAUCCUCCCGAGCGAUACAACAAGAUAUGGAGAUACAUGGAGCUCUUUGUUCAGCGGAUCAGUUAGAAAUAAUGCAGGGAGGAAUAUUAAA